RNAcentral lists this ribosomal RNA (657 nucleotides) under uncultured bacterium. Its description in RNAcentral is "bacterial SSU rRNA". It matches the Rfam family "Bacterial small subunit ribosomal RNA", at positions 8 to 654 of the family's 1533-position model. The record is from RNAcentral.
AGAGUUUGAUCCUGGCUCAGAACGAACGCUGGCGGCGUGGCUAAGGCAUGCAAGUCUAACGGACCCCCCAAGGAGUAAUCUGAGGGGGAGUUAGUGGCGAACGGGUGAGGAAUACAUGGAUAACGUGCCCCGGGCACGGGAAUAGCGGCUCCUCCGCAUGGCGGAUUAAUCGAAGGUGCCGGUAAUACCCGAUGACCCAGUUGCGCCGCAUGGUGCGGCGGGCAAAGCUCCGGUGGCCUGGGAGCGGUCCAUGUCCAAUCAGAUUGUUGGUGAGGUAACGGCUCACAAAGGCUUCGACGGGUAUCAGGUGUGAGAGCAUGACCCGACACAUCGAGGCACUGACUACACUGCCCGGACACCUGCGGGUGGUUGCAACAGCAAAUAUUCCGCAAUGGGCGCAAGCUUGACCGAGCUACCCCCCUUGCAGGACUAAUUCCCUCUGGAUGUAAACUGCUGUGUGGGGCUAGAAAGAAGUGAUCAACCCCUCAGGAAGCGUCCGCUAACUCCAUGCCAGCAGCAGCGGUAAUAAGGAGGAGGCUAGCGUUGUUCUGAUUCACUGGGCUUAAAUGGCGUGUAAGCGGAGUGUCGCGCGCCUUGUCAUACCCCCCAGCUCAACCAGCGAAUUGCUUGGCAAACUCUCACUCUUGAGGCAUGUAG